This 77-nucleotide non-coding RNA is filed under the name Nitrosovibrio sp. Nv17. RNAcentral's name for it is "Nitrosovibrio sp. SAH sequence". It matches the Rfam family "SAH (S-adenosyl-L-homocysteine) riboswitch aptamer". The record is from Rfam by way of RNAcentral. Lineage: Bacteria; Pseudomonadati; Pseudomonadota; Betaproteobacteria; Nitrosomonadales; Nitrosomonadaceae.
CCGGUCGAGGAGCGCUGCAACGGGUAUAUCCCGCGAGGCUCGGCCGGGAAGGAUCGUCACAACUGCGCUCGUCCAUU